RNAcentral lists this transfer RNA (86 nucleotides) under Escovopsis weberi. It matches the Rfam family "tRNA". Rfam says of the family: Transfer RNA (tRNA) molecules are approximately 80 nucleotides in length. The record is from Rfam by way of RNAcentral. Lineage: Eukaryota; Fungi; Ascomycota; Sordariomycetes; Hypocreales; Hypocreaceae.
GGCCGCGUGGCCUAAUGGCUAAGGCGUCAGAUUUCGGCUCCGAUCCCUUUCUCUGAAGAUUCCAGGUUCGACUCCUGGCGUGGUCG